Non-coding RNA from Macaca mulatta (Rhesus monkey), 6632 nucleotides. Lineage: Eukaryota; Metazoa; Chordata; Mammalia; Primates; Cercopithecidae. The record is from RefSeq and is a predicted model, not a curated record.
AGAGCGAGACUCCGUCUCAAAAAAAAAAGAAGAAAGAAAUAAUCAAAGAAAACAGGAGGAAGGGGAAAAUAGAGAUAAGGCAACAUAUCAAUAUGUAUCAAUGCAGUAGAAAACGAAGCAACAUAAUAAAGAAUCAAUAAAGCCAGAAGAAGUUGGUUCUUUGAAAAAAGAAGUAAUAAACCCUUUGGAGAAGACACAUAAAUAUUAUGAAUUAGAAACAUAAUUACAGAUACAGUUUAGGACAAAAAAAUUGAUAUAAUAUGAAAAAUUUUAUGGGAAUACGUUUUAAAACAGACAAAUGCUUAGAAAAAGAGCCAAAUAUAAUUUACUCAAACUGAUUCCAGUAGAAACUGAAAGCCUGCAAAAUUCUUUAACUAUUGAGGCAAUAAAAAAUCCUCUCACAACAAAAUUACAAAUCCAGAUAAUUUAUAGGUAAUUUUACCAAGUUUCCAAGGAAUAGAUUGCUCCAAUAUUUACACAAACACUUUCAGAGAAUAGAAAACAACAAGGGAAAUAUAUUAUCAGCAAACUGAAUUAAACAGAAUAUAUAAAAGAUAACAUGCUGUGACCCACUUGGGUUUAUCCUAAAAAUGGCAGGAUAGUUUAAAAUUUGAAGAGUCUCAAGAAUCACCGGUUCAUAGACAUUUAUUAAAAGAUAUGUGGCAUUAUUAAAACAUUUGGUUCUAUGCAUAACCAAAAGUUAUGCCCAGGUUGACAGCAUAAGAGAUUCUGAUAUCCCAUGUUCACCGACCCAGCUGUCUAUCACUCCUUGUAAUGUCACCUGAGGCUAUGUAUGUUGAACCUCCUGUGGCAUGGCUACUGCUCCUAGUAGGAAGCAUUUUGAUCCCUCCUAAGAGCCCUGAUAGGAAACACAAAUGAAUUUAAUUUGAAUGCAACAUCAAAUUAAUUAGUAAUAGCUUUCAGAAAUGCUGUAUUAGAUGGGAAUCUAGAAUAGAGCCUUGGCACAGGGAGAAACAAUGUUGUAUCAGCCAACAAUGUUUGCUAUAGGUUUAAGAGGAGUAGAGAAAAAUACAUGCAUGCCAGGCAUUUUUCAUUCUUGGAAAAGAUUUUUCAAUUCAAAGCCUAUUACAAAAUGAGCCACAGUGUCUAGCUGCCCUACAAUAGAACUCUCAGUGCAGCACCAUGGCUUACCACUGGAAUGUGUAGAGGUAGUGUUACCUAUGUAACAGGGAAAGAAAGUGUGCAUUAGUAGGCACUAGGAAAUCCUACAGAAUAGCCAAACUCCCUACUUUUAACUUUCUACCAUCAUUAGAUGUUUAAGUUGUACUCAACUCUAUUUCCAUGGUUUUAUACAUUGAACAGAUCCAGUCCUUUACAUUCAGACAAAUCAAUUAUUUGUAUAGUACAGGGUUUAUCCAUUUCACCAAGCAUGAAGAAUCAUCUAGAUGCUUAUUAAAAAUAUAGUCUCCUCAGCACCACCCAAGACCGUGGUCGCAAGGGUUCAAGGAAUCUGGGUGUCGUUUUUAUUUCUCCCAUAGUGAUUCCCAUUCACUUUUACAAAUCGCUAGUGGAGUGGUUAUUGCACACCUGAGAGGCAAGCUGCAUAAAUUAAUGAUCAGUAUGAUGGCUCAAUAACAAAGGAAUAACAUCACCUGACUUUUCUAAAUCUCAUUGGUCAUUGAUCACGUCGCAUUCUCAGUGACAUAUCAAGAAGGGAAGGGGUGUGUGUAGGAGCCACUGCUCCAGCAGGGAGGAGUAUUUCAGUAUUUUGUCACUGACAUUCUUUGUAACUGCCAACUUUUGCUUUGUUUCAUUGUUUUUAAAAUCUUUAUAGCCAGUGGACCCCUUACUGCUUACAAUCAUGCACACGUUGCCACUGACUCCUUUCUUUGGUAACCACAGUACAUUCUAGUUAACUACCACACAUUUACAAUAUCUCAUUAUUUUGUGUCUUUACUUACUUUUUGUCUUUCUCCCCGUAUAGGCUCUAAGCUCCAUGACACACUUUGUCGAUUUUUUCUCUAUGCCAGAUGCUAGUAAUUAUAGACUUACAUGGCUAAAGCACUUACCCAUUUUGUGCCAAUUGCAGGGAUUGAGGUUACCAGAUGUACUGUGGUAGACUAAUGUUGACUUAGGUCUGGAAAAUGAAAUAAAAAUUAGAUAAGUACAACAAAAUGGAAAGCUAAUGAAAGAAAAAAUAAGGAAAAAUAAUAUUUAGACAGAUUGGUUUCAGUAACUCAUCUGAUUCAGGCAACCUAUGAAAGGCUUCCAUCGUUCAUUCUUUCUCUGGGUUAACAAGCAAAAUGGAAGAAGACUAGGAAAAGCAUGUGUGUGUGUGUGUGUGUGUGUGUGUGUGUGUGUGUGUGAAAGAGAUGUUAAAUAGGAGUGACAUAGUAUGGAGCACAUAUGUGUGAAUUCACAUAAGAAAAAUUUAAUUCUGUUUACCAUUCACUAACACACCCAAAUAUAUGAAUAACCUAUUUUUUUUUUCCUUCGUACCAGGAAGCUUCCCCACACACCGUGACUGAACUUUUGGCAUUUACCAGAGUUCAAUUAAAAAAUAUAUUCUCUCAUUUCAUCAAUUUCUAUCUCCUUUGCCCUAAAAGAGAAAGCUGAAUUUUAGACUACUGAAUAGAAAGAAAAGCCUUUUGGUUAUCAAGAAUUUUAUAGUUAAGUGAUUUAAAGGUUUUAUUACUUUAUGGGUAGCCAAGUUCUAAACUGUAUUUAUAAAACAACGAAAUGCAUAUAUGAUGGCAUAUUAGGAACUCCAUAAAAUAUUGAAAUACACACUUUCACACAUUUGGGGUCUUGUACAAUGAAAUGUCUAUAUUUGGAAAAUGGGCCUAAUAUAUUCACUCUGCCCCUCUUGAAACCUUUGAAAGCCCACUUGAGCAUCCACACCUGUGAACUGCAGUAUACCAUCCUACAGCUAGCAUGAGAUUGACGACUGUAUCAACUGGAAUUAAGUCUGCCACUGCCUUUGGAGUAGCUUUUAAGGCCCGAAGAAACCCUUUCCCAGCCUGCAUAGGAAAAAGAACAUAAAAUGUUAAUCCAGGUCUUAAAUAAUAGCUGGGGCUAAAGUAUGUAUCAUCAAACUGAUUAUACUAGUGCAGUACGUGAAAACAGCUAACAUUGAUCCACUGCUUACCAGGUUCUUAUGCUAAGUCUGACUUCCUCAGUCUAUCCUACCUUCCCAGCCAAGCGCAUCUCCAGCAUUUCCAUGAACUACUAGUGUUCCUCACGUUCCUUCAGGAAAUAAAAUUCCUCGAAUUUGUGAGAGGUUAAUAAACUCAAUUAACAAACACCAAGAAUAAACUUUUACAUCUUAAAAAUUCAUAAAACAUGUUAAGAAUUAAGGUUAUACAAAUUUCCCAUUAACUUUCCCAUUAAUAUUUGUUUACCAUUUCCUUGAUGAUUUUGUUUUCUGCUAGGGUUUAUUAGCUUACAAGCAAUAGUAGGCACUAAAAGUUUAAGAAACAUUUAUUUGAAAAACAUUAAUUGGCGAAAUUCCACCAUUAAUAAAAUAAAACUUUUUUUUUGGCUUGGAAAAAUUGCCUUAUUAUUUACUUUUUAUUCAGCAUCUUAGUUCACCUCACAGAUCACUGAUGUUACAUAGAUGCAAGAAUUAGGAAUUAUUCAUGUCAAUAAUUUGUUGAGUUUAUGAAAUUGAUUCUUUGCGCUUUGCAUGUUUCCAACAUUGAUUUGCAAUGAUUAGCACUUUCUUAUGUUACUCAGUUCUGUUGUCUUAUAACUAGCUCCCCUUCUUUCGAACAUAAGAAACCAAUCUAGAACAUUUUAGAAAAUGUAAAUAAAUAUGCAGCUUUGCAUAUAAUGAAACCCGCUUUGGGAUCAUGUUAAAAUAAUGAUGUUCUAAGUCACUAAAUGUUCACCCCAACUGAACUUUUGUAGAAGAAAGAGUUGAAGGCAGAUGGGAAACAGAAAGAAAAGGGCUGCUUGAAAAAUCAGACAUCGGAAGGAAGAUCUUUGUCACUGUUAUAAUUCACUGUCUCAUAUUCAUAUUGCAAUUCAUGUUGACCCUAGUUCUGGGAGGAACAGAGAUAGAGUCUGAAGCGCAGUCUAAAUCCCUAAUAAGAUUUAAACGCAUUUAGAUCACUGAUUUCCUAUUCAUUGUACAAAACAGUGAAGUGGGGUUUAGACCCUAAAUGCUUCAGUGUGAGCUGUGAAGUCCCACAGCUUGGCUGGAUCAAUCUGGACUUCGGGGAGAUGCGCACUGAGGGCUGCUUACCUAGAGGAGCCACGUUUCUCCUGGUAAGAGAUUAUUGAAAAGGUGUUGCCUAUAUUCAUGGAUUUUUGUAUUUGAAAAAUUUGCUGCAAUUGGUAGUUCUCUUUCUUGUAUUCAUUAAGAAUUAUUGAUGUAUAUCUCUUUUCUAUACACACACAUAAACUCUUACAUGUGUUUUAUAAUCAAGAAUUUAAUAAUCUUUGAAGAUAUUUUUACUGCAUCCUCAAUUCACUGCACUAAUUCAUGUGAUUAUAAACGGCAAAAAGGGGGAAAUACCCCCAUCUUGUGGUAACUAAAGAAAAGUCCUGAUGCUCAAAGACUUCAAAAAUAAAACUCCUAAAUAGUAACUGAUAGCACAUUACCUCUGUUUUUCUGAUAAAAAAUUCUCAAAGAAUAAAAUAAUUUCAUCCUGCCUCUAUAUUACAAUUAGAACAAUUAAAAUAAUGUGCCUCAAUUAUUAGUAAAGUAGCAUUUAUAUUUUUGGAUCAAUGAAGCUAAGUCAGCACUAAGAAUUUUGUUACUCUUCCUCUACUACAUUUCAGGGAGUUAUUUCUUCAUUGUUAUACAUACCGCAAUAAUUAGUCCAUUAGGUCCAUUUAUAUUAUCAACCCAACCCUAAAAGAAAGAAGAUUUCUGUUGGUUACACAUUUCAGAAAAUUGUUUUAUCUUUGGAACAUCUGCAGUCUAAUCUUAAUAAAUUUCAAACAAGAGCACUGAGAUCCCAGCCAAUAGAACUAUCUAAUUCAGUAUUAUUUAGAUCUCAAAAGAUAAAGGCAAAUCACUGGCCAUUUUCUGUACUUUAUUUGACUGUGCAAAAAUUAGAAUUUUGCCAGGAUUGUUUUUCUUAGCAGGAGCCAUGAAUGGUUUUCUGGUGUUUUAUGACCUCUUAUGGACCUUGUCCUUAUAUCAUGAUCUGCUAAGCAAUUCACCAACCAUCCUUCUCCACCUUAGUCCUGAUUUCAGCCUCCUUAGGAGAACAUUGAAAACAUGAUUUGUGUUAAUGGCCCAUUUUUGACAUUUUUUACCAGCUAUAGAGUCCAUGACAGAUAUAUAUACGUGUGUGUGUGUGUGUGUUUCUGUAUGUGUAUUGACUUGCUUAAAGAUGUUACAGAAAGAUUAUGUUUAAGAGCAGCUAGAGGGAAAUGUGUUUUUAAGUUUGUUUCUUAAGACCUAAGCCAUUCAGCUGACCUUAUUAUGUCUCUUUACAUUACAGUAUAAAAGUCAAAUGUGUGUGUAUAAUGGGAGAGGAGAGAGAAGAGAGGAGAAGAUGAAGGGAUUAAUAUUUGUUGAGCCUUUUAGUAGGGACCAGGCUUUUACUUGAGACUGAGCACUCCUCAUACAUUGUCUCAUUAAAUCAACUCUCCAAAGUAGUAUCUGUCCUGUUUUAUGGAAGGGACAACUCAAAAACAUUGCAUUACCAGUAAGUAGUGGAGCUGGAAUUUACCCCAAAGCCUCACAGAUUUGCUUUGAAGAAGAUGAUGUAAUUCAAAGUACUUUCAAAAGGUCAUGGCAGUAUGCUGAGGUUUAAAAAAAUUAGUAUUCCUAAACUGAGAUCCUUCUGUGAGCUUUGAAACUCUUGUUUACCCUGGCAGUUAUAAUACUACCAAUUUGGCCACUAAGGACAUUCUGGUAUGCUUAAACUAUAGUAAGAAAGCCAAGAUAUGAAACCAUCACCCAUGGGAAUUUUGAGACUAGAGUAAUUAGAAGCUAAUUUAAGCUCUCCAUCCAACUCUAGGACAGUCAAGGUAACUGCCAGAGGAGCCACAUGCUGGAAACCAAAGUGGAAUUUUGCCCUAGUUCAUAUUCGAUCGGCUGCACUUAGCUAUAAAUCCUGAGGAGGAGAAGAAGAAAGACAUCAGAAAGUAAUUGGGCUAGAAGAACCUUAGUUUGGAAGCAAAACACAGAAUCCAGGACACGGAUAGAUAACUUCAUCGAUGUGCUUCAGGUUACAAUUUGAAUAGGCAGUAGAGAUAUGUAUAAAGGCUUCCAGCUUUGGCAUCUGACUAGCCAUAAGCAAGAGUUGCCGGGUGGCAGUGACGUUAAGUUGCACAGCAUGUCUAGAGAAGAUUAAGUAGAAGGAAAUACAAUGAGAAACUAUGAAGAAAUUUACAUGCACACAAAUGUAUACAAACCAUGAGAGGGAAAUGGGAAUGUACCUGAGAGUGUCAUCAAAGCGUACAGUGGCUGCACAGUGAAAGAUUAUGUUUGUACAGGAGAGAAGCUCCUGCAUGUCCUCUUUGCUGAUGGCAAAGUCAUUCUGACUGAGAUCUGCAUAAAUAGCUCUGAUCUUCUCAUGCACAUUUGGACAAACUUCUUUGACUUUCUCAAAUAGCUGAAACAUAAAUAUAGAUCAAUAUACAAAAAAUAGCAUCAUCAUUAUCACAUUGUUCUUGUUUACAACAACCUGUUUAAUUUUACUCAAAAACUG